This 665-nucleotide ribosomal RNA is filed under the name uncultured bacterium. Its description in RNAcentral is "bacterial SSU rRNA". It matches the Rfam family "Bacterial small subunit ribosomal RNA", at positions 8 to 719 of the family's 1533-position model. The record is from RNAcentral.
AGGGUUUGAUCAUGGCUCAGAACGUACGCUGGCGGCACGCCUAACACAUGCAAGUCGAACGAAGUAGCAAUACUUAGUGGCGAACGGGUGAGUAUAAUGUGGGUAUCUGCCCUUUGGUUUGGAAUAACACGAGGAAACUUGUGCUAAUACCAGAUAAGCCUUCACAGGGAAAGCUUUAGCGCCGAAGGAUGAGCCCGCACUUGAUUAGCUAGUUGGUGAGGUAAUAGCUCACCAAGGCAACGAUCAAUAGCUGUUCUUAGAGGAAGACCAGCCACAUUGGGACUGAGACACGGCCCAAACUCCUACGGGAGGCAGCAGUGGGGAAUCUUGCACAAUGGGGGAAACCCUGAUGCAGCGAUGCCGCGUGAGUGAAGAAGGCCCUUGGGUUGUAAAGCUCUUUCGUCGGGGAAGAAAAUGACUGUACCCGAAUAAGAAGGUCCGGCUAACUUCGUGCCAGCAGCCGCGGUAAUACGAAGGGACCUAGCGUAGUUCGGAAUUACUGGGCUUAAAGAGCUCGUAGGUGGUUAAGAAAGUUGGUGGUGAAAUCCCAAGGCUUAACCUUGGAACUGCCACCAAAACUUUUUGACUAGAGUAUGAUAGAGGUAAGUGGAAUUUCUAGUGUAGAGGUGAAAUUCGUAGAUAUUAGAAAGAACACCAAUUGCGAA